UCAAACUUGGUCAUUUAGAGGAAGUAAAAGUCGUAACAAGGUCUCCGUUGGUGAACCAGCGGAGGGAUCAUUACCGAGUUUUCAACUCCCAAACCCCUGUGAACUUAUACCUUUACCGUUGCUUCGGCGGGUUUUCGCCCCGGAACGCGGGCCCCCUUCGUAAAAAAGGGGGGGCCGGCCCCGGAACCAGGCGCCCGCCGGGGGACCCCAAAAACUCUUGUAUUUUUUUACCUUUAGCAUGUCUGAGUGGAAUCAUACAAAAUGAAUCAAAACUUUCAACAACGGAUCUCUUGGUUCUGGCAUCGAUGAAGAACGCAGC
RNAcentral lists this unclassified non-coding RNA (319 nucleotides) under uncultured fungus. Its description in RNAcentral is "partial contains small subunit ribosomal RNA, internal transcribed spacer 1, and 5.8S ribosomal RNA". The stretch from base 1 to 73 matches the Rfam family "Eukaryotic small subunit ribosomal RNA", at positions 1759 to 1831 of the family's 1831-position model. Lineage: Eukaryota; Fungi. The record is from RNAcentral.